Molecule: small RNA, 473 nt
Filed under: uncultured Entrophospora
Lineage: Eukaryota; Fungi; Glomeromycota; Glomeromycetes; Entrophosporales; Entrophosporaceae
Description: SSU rRNA
Rfam family: Eukaryotic small subunit ribosomal RNA
Source: RNAcentral
AGCAGCCGCGGUAAUUCCAGCUCCAAUAGCGUAUAUUAAAGUUGUUGCAGUUAAAAAGCUCGUAGUUGAAUUUCGGGACCAAUAUGUUGGUCGUGCCUAGGUACGUACUGUCAUGAUUGGUUUCUCCCUUCUGAAGAACCACGAUGCCAUUAAUUUGGUGUCGUGGGGAAUCAGGACUGUUACUUUGAAAAAUUAGAGUGUUUAAAGCAGGCUCGCGCUUGAAUACAUUAGCAUGGAAUAAUGAAAUAGGACGUUUGAUUCUAUUUUGUUGGUUUCUAGGAUCGACGUAAUGAUUAAUAGGGAUAGUUGGGGGCAUUAGUAUUCAAUUGUCAGAGGUGAAAUUCUUGGAUUUAUUGAAGACUAACUACUGCGAAAGCAUUUGCCAAGGAUGUUUUCAUUAAUCUAAGAACGAAAGUUAGGGGAUCGAAGACGAUCAGAUACCGUCGUAGUCUUAACCAUAAACUAUGCCGACU